Molecule: ribosomal RNA, 404 nt
Filed under: uncultured Eubacteriales bacterium
Lineage: Bacteria; Bacillati; Bacillota; Clostridia; Eubacteriales
Description: bacterial SSU rRNA
Rfam family: Bacterial small subunit ribosomal RNA
Source: RNAcentral
AGGGAAUAUUGCGCAAUGGGGGAAACCCUGACGCAGCGACGCCGCGUGAGUGAUGAAGGCCUUCGGGUCGUAAAACUCUGUCCUUAGGGAAGAAACCAAUGACGGUACCUAAGGAGGAAGCCCCGGCUAACUACGUGCCAGCAGCCGCGGUAAUACGUAGGGGGCGAGCGUUGUCCGGAAUUAUUGGGCGUAAAGGGUGCGUAGGCGGCCUUUUAAGUCAGAUGUGAAAGACCACAGCUUAACUGUGGAACCGCAUCGGAAACUGUCGUCCUUGAGUAUCGGAGGGGAAAGCGGAAUUCCUAGUGUAGCGGUGAAAUGCGUAGAUAUUAGGAGGAACACCGGUGGCGAAGGCGGCUUUCUGGCCGAAAACUGACGCUGAGGCGCGAAAGCGUGGGGAGCAAACA